UACAGAGGGGGCGAGCGUUGUUCGGAAUUACUGGGCGUAAAGGGCUCGUAGGCGGCCUGCUACGUCAUACGUGAAAUCCCUCAGCUUAACUGGGGAACUGCGUGUGAUACUGGAUGGCUUGGAUUUGGGAGAGGGAUGCGGAAUUCCAGGUGUAGCGGUGAAAUGCGUAGAUAUCUGGAGGAACACCGGUGGCGAAGGCGGCAUCCUGGACCAAUAUUGACGCUGAGGAGCGAAAGCCAGGGGAGCAAACGGG
Molecule: ribosomal RNA, 253 nt
Filed under: uncultured bacterium
Lineage: Bacteria
Description: partial 16S ribosomal RNA
Rfam family: Bacterial small subunit ribosomal RNA
Source: RNAcentral